Molecule: ribosomal RNA, 550 nt
Filed under: Bacillus pumilus
Lineage: Bacteria; Bacillati; Bacillota; Bacilli; Caryophanales; Bacillaceae
Description: bacterial SSU rRNA
Rfam family: Bacterial small subunit ribosomal RNA
Source: RNAcentral
UCGGCUGUUCGGAUAUUGGGCGUAAGGGCUCGCAGGCGGUUUCUUAGUCUGAUGUGAAAGCCCCCGGCUCAACCGGGGAGGGUCAUUGGAAACUGGGAAACUUGAGUGCAGAAGAGGAGAGUGGAAUUCCACGUGUAGCGGUGAAAUGCGUAGAGAUGUGGAGGAACACCAGUGGCGAAGGCGACUCUCUGGUCUGUAACUGACGCUGAGGAGCGAAAGCGUGGGGAGCGAACAGGAUUAGAUACCCUGGUAGUCCACGCCGUAAACGAUGAGUGCUAAGUGUUAGGGGGUUUCCGCCCCUUAGUGCUGCAGCUAACGCAUUAAGCACUCCGCCUGGGGAGUACGGUCGCAAGACUGAAACUCAAAGGAAUUGACGGGGGCCCGCACAAGCGGUGGAGCAUGUGGUUUAAUUCGAAGCAACGCGAAGAACCUUACCAGGUCUUGACAUCCUCUGACAACCCUAGAGAUAGGGCUUUCCCUUCGGGAACAGAGUGACAGGUGGUGCAUGGUUGUCGUCAGCUCGUGUCGUGAGAUGUUGGGUUAAGUCCCG